UCUAGAGAAGUUUUCCGCGUGGACCGUGUAUAAGUCUCUUGGAACAGAGCGUCAUAGAGGGUGAGAAUCCCGUCUUUGACACGGACUACCAAUGCUUUGUGAUACACUCUCAAAGAGUCGAGUUGUUUGGGAAUGCAGCUCAAAAUGGGUGGUAAAUUCCAUCUAAAGCUAAAUAUUGGCGAGAGACCGAUAGCGAACAAGUACCGUGAGGGAAAGAUGAAAAGCACUUUGGAAAGAGAGUUAAACAGUACGUGAAAUUGCUGAAAGGGAAACGCUUGAAGUCAGUCGCGUUAUCUAGAACUCAACCAGGCUUGCUUGGCGUAUUUUCUAGUUAACGGGCCAGCAUCAGUUUUGACCGCAGGAAAAAGGCCAGGGAAAUGUGGCACCCUCGGGUGUGUUAUAGUCUCUGGUCAUAUACUGUGAUUGGGACUGAGGACCGCAGCACGCGCAAGCUGUGCUUAGG
RNAcentral lists this ribosomal RNA (463 nucleotides) under Irpex flavus. RNAcentral's name for it is "LSU rRNA". It matches the Rfam family "Eukaryotic large subunit ribosomal RNA", at positions 151 to 619 of the family's 3401-position model. Lineage: Eukaryota; Fungi; Basidiomycota; Agaricomycetes; Polyporales; Irpicaceae. The record is from RNAcentral.